AAGAAGAAGAAGAAGAAGAUUCGAUAAAAGUUGGGAAUGAUCGAGAAAUCAAAAUAGGAUUUCAACGAUAUGGAAAUGUUAAAAGAAAACAAGAAAGAAAGAGAGAGAGGAGAGUGAAAAGAGAGAGAGAAAAGGGGCAGGAAGGAUUUUGUAUUAUCUUUGAAGAAAAUUAUAAAA
Molecule: long non-coding RNA, 177 nt
Filed under: Polistes fuscatus (common paper wasp)
Lineage: Eukaryota; Metazoa; Arthropoda; Insecta; Hymenoptera; Vespidae
Description: uncharacterized LOC122526427
Source: RNAcentral